AAGCGGUCUGACCACUGAGGCAAACCUCAGUUCGUACCUUUUGCUUUCAAGAAAAUACAAAAGAAUUUAAAGGACGAUGUAUAGCAAAAGUGCUAGUGAAUUGAGCAGAGCCUUUAUCAGCAGAAAAUACAUUCAGAUAUUUCUCUUUCAUGAUUCCACUGACAAACUCUUAACAGAUUUCCCACACUCGGCCGAAUUUGUUAAUUAGAUUCCACCCUUCUGCUGAAUUAGAAUGGGCCUAGGGCCACUGUACUCAGCAUUUAAGCCCAACAGCAUCUGGUACGAAGAUCCUUAGUCGUGAAACAGUAGAAUUGGAGGGUAGCUAAACAAUAGGAAAAUCUCCUGAUGGUUGUAGCAAAGACCUAGAUUUGAAUCUUACCUACACCAGAAUUUGGGGCAUGUUUGGUUGCGGAGGGUUCGGCUCUGAAAUGGAAAUGAGAAUGAGUUCCGGUUCCAAUUUUAAGAGAGAAUAAUAAGAAUGACCUAACCUAUCAAAAUUUAAUCCCAGCUCUCCUC
RNAcentral lists this long non-coding RNA (516 nucleotides) under Phoenix dactylifera (date palm). Its description in RNAcentral is "long non-coding RNA (PDAC_LNC000026)". The record is from RNAcentral. Lineage: Eukaryota; Viridiplantae; Streptophyta; Magnoliopsida; Arecales; Arecaceae.